AGUCGAACGAAGCACUUUAACCUGAUUCUUCGGAUGAAGGUUUUUGUGACUGAGUGGCGGACGGGUGAGUAACGCGUGGGUAACCUGCCUCAUACAGGGGGAUAACAGUUAGAAAUGACUGCUAAUACCGCAUAAGACCACGGAGCCGCAUGGCUCAGUGGGAAAAACUCCGGUGGUAUGAGAUGGACCCGCGUCUGAUUAGGUAGUUGGUGGGGUAACGGCCUACCAAGCCAACGAUCAGUAGCCGACCUGAGAGGGUGACCGGCCACAUUGGGACUGAGACACGGCCCAAACUCCUACGGGAGGCAGCAGUGGGGAAUAUUGCACAAUGGGGGAAACCCUGAUGCAGCGACGCCGCGUGAGCGAAGAAGUAUUUCGGUAUGUAAAGCUCUAUCAGCAGGGAAGAAAAUGACGGUACCUGACUAAGAAGCACCGGCUAAAUACGUGCCAGCAGCCGCGGUAAUACGUAUGGUGCAAGCGUUAUCCGGAUUUACUGGGUGUAAAGGGAGCGUAGACGGCUGUGUAAGUCUGAAGUGAAAGCCCGGGGCUCAACCCCGGGACUGCUUUGGAAACUAUGCAGCUAGAGUGUCGGAGAGGUAAGUGGAAUUCCCAGUGUAGCGGUGAAAUGCGUAGAUAUUGGGAGGAACACCAGUGGCGAAGGCGGCUUACUGGACGAUGACUGACGUUGAGGCUCGAAAGCGUGGGGAGCAAACAGGAUUAGAUACCCUGGUAGUCCACGCCGUAAACGAUGACUACUAGGUGUCGGGGAGCAAAGCUCUUCGGUGCCGCAGCAAACGCAAUAAGUAGUCCACCUGGGGAGUACGUUUGCAA
RNAcentral lists this ribosomal RNA (831 nucleotides) under uncultured bacterium. RNAcentral's name for it is "bacterial SSU rRNA". It matches the Rfam family "Bacterial small subunit ribosomal RNA", at positions 60 to 891 of the family's 1533-position model. The record is from RNAcentral.